Non-coding RNA from Chiloscyllium plagiosum (whitespotted bambooshark), 170 nucleotides. The record is from RefSeq and is a predicted model, not a curated record. NCBI's taxonomy places the organism in Eukaryota, Metazoa, Chordata, Chondrichthyes, Orectolobiformes, Hemiscylliidae.
UCAUCCAGGGAUAUCUUGAUUGAUACUCUGGAUUAUAGAGUACUGAUCACUCACUCACUUAAUCAAAAUAAAAUAAGUUUUAAAAUUGAAAACUGUGUGGGGUCCAAGACUUUUUUUUUGAGUGAAAUGUUUUGUGCUGCAAUGUGAAUCUCAGCAAAUAGUUUUUUGAG